This is a long non-coding RNA of Coregonus clupeaformis (lake whitefish), 615 nucleotides long. RefSeq lists it as uncharacterized. The transcript has 4 exons. The record is from RefSeq and is a predicted model, not a curated record. Lineage: Eukaryota; Metazoa; Chordata; Actinopteri; Salmoniformes; Salmonidae.
UGCCAUUCCAGCAUGAUGAUGCAAGAGGACGGUGGUUGAACCAAUUUGCAAGUAGCCUAUCAAUAAGCAUGUUAUUUUUCAAUGUAUUAAGUAUUUCAGUGUGCAGUCAAUUGAGGGGGGGACUAUGUUUCAUGAAGCCAUUAGAAGACUGUUGCAGACUUAGGAAUAACCCAGAACUAUCAGAGGCAGAGGAUCUCUCUUUCAGCUGCUGUUGACAACAACUGCAUUCAGGCAACAACCCAUUCUGUACUGGCGGAAGGUAGCCCAGCGGCUAAGGAUUUGGACAUGUGGCAGGAGUUGGACCUGUGGCCGAAAGGUGGCCAUGUUCGAAUCCCGGGCUGGGCGCUGGAAGAAACGGGCGGAAUUGAUCUGACAACUGGAGGGCUGCUGGGUUCACAAUAUUCCCCUACCGUUGGGCCCUUGAGCAAGGCCCUUAACCUCACAACAUGCUCUCCAUCCAGGGGUGCUGCACUGCAGUUUGAACCUGUGCUCGUCUUAACUGUAUGUGUGAGUUCUGCUGUUUGGAGGGGUUGAGAACAGAGCAGAAGCCACAUGUUUGUUGUUUGCUGAAACUAAUGGACAAAGUUGUAUUGUAAAGAAGUCAGCCAGAGUUGA